GAGCACGUAGGUGGGUUUGUAAGUCAGGUGUGAAAGCCUUCUGUUCAAAGGAAGAACGGCAUCUGAAACUGCAGAUCUUGAGUGUAGGAGGGGAGAGUGGAACUUCUGGUGGAGCGGUGAAAUGCGUAGAUAUCAGAAGGAACGUCGGCGGCGAAAGCGACUCUCUGGCCUAUUACUGACACUGAGGUGCGAAAGUUAGGGGAGCAAACGGGAUUAGAUACCCCGGUAGUCCUAACCGUAAACGAUGGGCACUAAGUAGAGGGAAUUACCAAUGUUCUCUCUGCCGUAGCUAACGCAUUAAGUGCCCCGCCUGGGGAGUACGGCCGCAAGGCUAAAACUCAAAAGAAUUGACGGGGGCUCGCACAAGCGGUGGAGCAUGUGGCUUAAUUCGAUGCAACGCGAAAAACCUUACCGGGGUUUGACAUGGUAGAAGUAGGAGCCCGAAAGGGUAACCAACGGUAUCCAGUCCGUAACUAUCACAGGUGUUGCAUGGCUGUCGUCAGCUCGUGUCGUGAGACGUUGGGUUAAGUCCCCUAACGAGCGAAACCCUUGUUUUUAGUUACCAUCGGGUUAUGCCGGGUACUCUAAAAAGACUGCCGUCGUCAAGACGGAGGAAGGUGGGGAUGACGUCAAGUCAUCAUGGCCCUUAUACCCCGGGCUGCACACGUGCUACAAUGGUCGGUACAAAAGGAAGCAAGACCGAGAGGUGAAGCGAAUC
RNAcentral lists this ribosomal RNA (718 nucleotides) under uncultured anaerobic ammonium-oxidizing bacterium. RNAcentral's name for it is "bacterial SSU rRNA". It matches the Rfam family "Bacterial small subunit ribosomal RNA", at positions 565 to 1273 of the family's 1533-position model. The record is from RNAcentral.